This 1665-nucleotide long non-coding RNA is filed under the name Homo sapiens (human). Its description in RNAcentral is "HSALNT0342375". The record is from RNAcentral. Lineage: Eukaryota; Metazoa; Chordata; Mammalia; Primates; Hominidae.
GGCGCCUCUGCCCAGCCGCCCCUACUGGGAAGUGAGGAGCCCCUCUGCCAGGCCAGCCACCCCGUCUGGGAGGGAGGUGGGGGGCUCAGCCCCCCGCCCGGCCAGCCGACCCGUCCGGGAGGGAGGUGGGGGGUCAGCCCCCCGCCCGGCCAGCCGCCCCGUCCGGGAGGUGAGGGGCACCUCUGCCCGGCCGCCCCUACUGGGAAGUGAGGAGCCCCUCUGCCCAGCCAGCCGCCCCGUCCGGGAGGGAGGUGGGGGGGUCAGCCCCCCGCCUGGCCAGCCGCCCCGUCCGGGAGGUGAGGGGCGCCUCUGCCCGGCCACCCCUACUGGGAAGUGAGGAGCCCCUCUGCCCAGCCACCACCUCGUCUGGGAGGUGUACCCAACAGCUCAUUGAGAACGGGCCGGGAUGACAAUGGCGGUUUUGUGGAAUAGAAAGGGGGGAAAGGUGGGGAAAAGAUUGAGAAAUCGGAUGGUUGCCGUGUCUGUGUAGAAAGAAGUAGACAUGGGAGACUUUUCAUUUUGUUCUGUACUAAGAUAAAUUCUUCUGCCUUGGGAUCCUGUUGAUCUGUGACCUUACCCCCAACCCUGUGCUCUCUGAAACAUGUGCUGUGUCCACUCAGGGUUAAAUGGAUUAAGGGCGGUGCAAGAUGUGCUUUGUUAAACAGAUGCUUGAAGGCAGCAUGCUCGUUAAGAAUCAUCACCACUCCCUAAUCUCAAGUACCCAGGGACACAAACACUGCGGAAGGCCGCAGGGUCCUCUGCCUAGGAAAACCAGAGACCUUUGUUCACUUGUUUAUCUGCCAACCUUCCCUCCACUAUUGUCCUAUGACCCUGCCAAAUCCCCCUCUGCGAGAAACACCCAAGAAUGAUCAAUAAAAAAAAUAAAAAUUAAAAAAAAAAAAAAAAAAAAUACAAAAAUUGGCUGGGCGUGGUGGCGGGCGCCUGUAAUUCCCAGCUACUCAGGAGGCUGAGGCAGGAGAGUCACUUGGACCUGAAAGGCGGAGGUUGCAGUGAGCCAAGAUCUCGCCACUGCACUCCAGAGCAAGACUCUGUCUCAAUAAAUAAAUAAAUGGAAUGUCCAUACUUCCCAAGUCCCAAGUCUCUGUCUUAAACUCAGAGUUGGUCAUCUAGGAGUAAACAGCCUCCUAAUGGAAUUGCUUCGUUCCUCUCGCCCUCCUUCCCUCCCUUGAGGCCUAAAAGAUUUGGAGAAUUUAGGUUAUCAGGGGAUGUUCAGUGCCUCCCCCAAAAAGAAUCUGAACUGUGCUCCUUGGGCAGUUGGCCAACACCUAAUAAAUGAUGAGGUCAUCCCCCCCCAGGAAUUUGUAAGCGUUCUUCCUUCCACCUUCCCCGCAUAAUGAGAUCUUAAAGAGCAGAGAAAUUCCAUAUUCCAUGUUGCUGUCAACCGGGCUUUAUGCUGCUGGGCAUCACGGUAAGGGAACAGCAAUAUCGUUUAUUAUCUUCAACUCAUUUUUCCAGUGCCAGGGGCUGCACCCAAGCUAGAGUGACCAUGGAGAAACAGGGAGACAAAGGAAUAACAUUACUCCAUAUAGUGCUAGAGUAUUUUAGGACAAAAGCCUCUUUUUUUUUUUUUUUUUUUGAGACUGGAUCUCGCUCUAUCGCCCAGGCUGGAGUGCAGUGGUAUAGUCUCAGCUCACUGCAACCUCU